RNAcentral lists this unclassified non-coding RNA (286 nucleotides) under Hevea brasiliensis (rubber tree). Lineage: Eukaryota; Viridiplantae; Streptophyta; Magnoliopsida; Malpighiales; Euphorbiaceae. The record is from RNAcentral.
GGAAAAUUUGGCAACACCCAUAUCUGUAGUUUGCAGUCAACAAACAACAACUGAAAUCACCAAAAGAAAAAAAAGAAUAAAAAGAAAACUAAACCCAACAACACAAGCACUCAAUUGUUGCGAAGUGGAUAUUGGCUACACUUUGAUCCAACAGCACAUUUUUACCUCCUUUUCAAUCUUUUUUGAAUCCCUUAAUCCAUUGGGUAAGCAAAUUAAUUUAUAUUUUUUUAUGGAUUAAUUAAUGAUUAUAGUUGUCUUGCUGUUCGUAGCUCCAUUGCAAAUUUCA